This 350-nucleotide long non-coding RNA is filed under the name Homo sapiens (human). RNAcentral describes it as "HSALNT0354085". Lineage: Eukaryota; Metazoa; Chordata; Mammalia; Primates; Hominidae. The record is from RNAcentral.
ACUUCCACCCUCAAAAGAUUUCUCCAUUUAUUAUGUAGAAAAUGAAGCUGGAGCCUGAGUUCAUCUCAGAGGUUGUAUACUCGCAUCCAAGAAGAGUACCCCUGUAGAAGGCAGUGGGGAGCUACAAAUAAAGAAAGACUUCAUCCCCUGUUACAUAAACCAAAGCUCUUUACUGGUGAGAAGAUAGCAAAAGCUGAAGCAGACACAGAAUCCACAAGUGGAAAAUACAGCAGUGCCAUUAAAGUUGCUGAGGGCCCGCUUUGCACCAGACACCAUUUUAAGGGAUAGAAGAGAAAACCUAAUGACAGUCUGAUUGCCGUCAAGAGGCUCACAUGUGAAAGGGAAUGAGG